AGAAGGUCCCAAGGGUUUGGCUGUUCGCCAAUUAAAGUGGUACGCGAGCUGGGUUCAGAACGUCGUAAGACAGUUCGGUCCUUAUCCUCUGUGGGCGUAGGAAAUUUGAGGAGAACAUUCCCUAGUACGAGAGGACCGGGAAUGACGUACCUCUGGUGUUCCUGCUGUCGCGCCAGCGGCAUCGCAGGGUAGCUAUGUACGGAAAGGAUAAGCGCUGAAAGCAUCUAAGCGCCAAGCCUCCUCCAAGACUAGAUUUCCCUUCUCUGUCGAAAGACAGAGACUCAAGGCCGGUCGAAGACUACGACCUUGAUAGGCUGGGUGUGUAAGUUCAGUGAUGAAUUAAGCUUACCAGUACUAAUCGGCCGUGAGGCUUGAUCUU
Molecule: ribosomal RNA, 379 nt
Filed under: Lentisphaerota bacterium
Lineage: Bacteria; Pseudomonadati; Lentisphaerota
Description: Lentisphaerae bacterium (freshwater sediment metagenome) partial 23S ribosomal RNA
Rfam family: Bacterial large subunit ribosomal RNA
Source: RNAcentral